This is a long non-coding RNA of Marmota monax (woodchuck), 854 nucleotides long. RefSeq lists it as uncharacterized. NCBI's taxonomy places the organism in Eukaryota, Metazoa, Chordata, Mammalia, Rodentia, Sciuridae. The record is from RefSeq and is a predicted model, not a curated record. The transcript is spliced from 2 exons.
UUCCGACCCCAGCUCUGCCUCAUAGCAGCCCCACUUCUCAGAAGCUCAUGACUUUGGGCCUGUACUUCAAAUGUGUGAUUUGCACAGCUUUCUGCAGGACACUGGUUAUUCUGGAAGCAGCACUGGACAGAAAAGCUCAGCACAAGGAGGACAGGAAUCCGUUUCCUCACUGCAAAACAUAGCUAUGCCUGGAUGUGAUUCAAGAAGACAUUAGCAACUUGAAAUCCUUCCUCAUCCCUAACAGGGAUGCUCUGGUAAGUCCCUGUUUUGAGGAACUUGGACCUUGGACCUACAAGAGUUGGUGCCCAAGAGGUCUUUGUGUCUGGAUGGACCCCAAAUACUGUCCUGAAGGACAGAGAGCAGCCUCUCAAAGAUGGCAACUCCCCAGGGCCUGAAGGUGCUGUGGAACAUGUGAGAGAACCUGACAAUGGUGAGUGCACUCCCAGUCCCCACUCCCAGGACUGGCCCUGGAGGUGCUACAGAAGGACUCCACCUACCUGCUGCCCUUGCUCUCUCCCCACCUGCCGUUUCUGCUCUUCAUCAGCCUUGUUCCCUAUAAGGAUCUUCUGGACACCUUCUGGUGCAUACUGGAGACAAAGGAGAAGCAGAAUUGUCAUUGAGAAAUGCCCUUCCCUCCCAUCUCCCCUGUCCCAGUCUACACUGACCUCUAAACCACCACCAAGGUUAAGAGCCCUAGGGACACGGUGGGGUGACCAGAGGCAAGUGUCAGGCUCUACCAAGUACAGGGGUCCCCCAUUAUCUGUGGUUUUGCUUUCCCAAUUUCAGUUACCUAUGGUCAACUAUGGUCUAAAACUUAAAUGGAAAAUUCUAGAAAUAAACAAUGUGUGUUUAAA